RNAcentral lists this ribosomal RNA (440 nucleotides) under uncultured bacterium. Its description in RNAcentral is "partial 16S ribosomal RNA". It matches the Rfam family "Bacterial small subunit ribosomal RNA", at positions 338 to 795 of the family's 1533-position model. The record is from RNAcentral.
CCUACGGGGGGCAGCAGUGGGGAAUAUUGCACAAUGGGGGAAACCCUGAUGCAGCGACGCCGCGUGAGUGAAGAAGUAUUUCGGUAUGUAAAGCUCUGUCAGCAGGGAAGAAAAUGACGGUACCUGACCAAGAAGCCCCGGCUAACUACGUGCCAGCAGCCGCGGUAAUACGUAGGGGGCAAGCGUUAUCCGGAUUUACUGGGUGUAAAGGGAGCGUAGACGGCAGGGCAAGUCUGGAGUGAAAGCCGGGGGCCCAACCCCGGGACUGCUUUGGAAACUGCCAGGCUGGAGUGCAGGAGAGGUAAGUGGAAUGCCUAGUGUAGCGGUGAAAUGCGUAGAUAUUAGGAGGAACACCAGUGGCGAAGGCGGCUUACUGGACUGUAACUGACGUUGAGGCUCGAAAGCGUGGGGAGCAAACAGGAUUAGAUACCCCAGUAGUC